UCUUAUGAUGGGGCGAAGGGGUACCUACA
RNAcentral lists this non-coding RNA (29 nucleotides) under Rattus norvegicus (Norway rat). Lineage: Eukaryota; Metazoa; Chordata; Mammalia; Rodentia; Muridae. The record is from RNAcentral.